RNAcentral lists this unclassified non-coding RNA (206 nucleotides) under plant metagenome. Its description in RNAcentral is "partial contains small subunit ribosomal RNA, internal transcribed spacer 1, and 5.8S ribosomal RNA". The record is from RNAcentral.
UCUCCGUAGGUGAACCUGCGGAGGGAUCAUUACCAGAGAUGGCGGGCCUCCGUGCCCCCGUCCCCAACCCAUUGUUGACCAAAACCUUUUUGCCUCGGGGGCAGAGCGUCCGCCGCCGCCCCCGGAGGACCACCGAACGCUGUCUUUAUACGUCGGAGUAUUGAUUAAAUGAAUGAAAACUUUCAACAACGGAUCUCUUGGUUCUG